UAGAGUUUGAUCAUGGCUCAGGACGAACGCUGGCGGCGUGCCUAAUACAUGCAAGUCGAGCGGACAGAAGGGAGCUUGCUCCCGGAUGUUAGCGGCGGACGGGUGAGUAACACGUGGGUAACCUGCCUGUAAGACUGGGAUAACUCCGGGAAACCGGAGCUAAUACCGGAUAGUUCCUUGAACCGCAUGGUUCAAGGAUGAAAGACGGUUUCGGCUGUCACUUACAGAUGGACCCGCGGCGCAUUAGCUAGUUGGUGGGGUAAUGGCUCACCAAGGCGACGAUGCGUAGCCGACCUGAGAGGGUGAUCGGCCACACUGGGACUGAGACACGGCCCAGACUCCUACGGGAGGCAGCAGUAGGGAAUCUUCCGCAAUGGACGAAAGUCUGACGGAGCAACGCCGCGUGAGUGAUGAAGGUUUUCGGAUCGUAAAGCUCUGUUGUUAGGGAAGAACAAGUGCGAGAGUAACUGCUCGCACCUUGACGGUACCUAACCAGAAAGCCACGGCUAACUACGUGCCAGCAGCCGCGGUAAUACGUAGGUGGCAAGCGUUGUCCGGAAUUAUUGGGCGUAAAGGGCUCGCAGGCGGUUUCUUAAGUCUGAUGUGAAAGCCCCCGGCUCAACCGGGGAGGGUCAUUGGAAACUGGGAAACUUGAGUGCAGAAGAGGAGAGUGGAAUUCCACGUGUAGCGGUGAAAUGCGUAGAGAUGUGGAGGAACACCAGUGGCGAAGGCGACUCUCUGGUCUGUAACUGACGCUGAGGAGCGAAAGCGUGGGGAGCGAACAGGAUUAGAUACCCUGGUAGUCCAC
Molecule: ribosomal RNA, 808 nt
Filed under: Bacillus pumilus
Lineage: Bacteria; Bacillati; Bacillota; Bacilli; Caryophanales; Bacillaceae
Description: bacterial SSU rRNA
Rfam family: Bacterial small subunit ribosomal RNA
Source: RNAcentral